This 253-nucleotide ribosomal RNA is filed under the name uncultured bacterium. RNAcentral's name for it is "partial 16S ribosomal RNA". It matches the Rfam family "Bacterial small subunit ribosomal RNA", at positions 524 to 776 of the family's 1533-position model. The record is from RNAcentral.
UACGGAGGGGGCAAGCGUUAUUCGGAAUUAUUGGGCGUAAAGGGCGUGUAGGCGGCUUCGUAAGUCCUAUGUGAAAGCCCUCGGCUUAACCGGGGAACUGCAUAGGAAACUGCGGAGCUUGAGUUCGGGAGAGGAGAGUGGAAUUCCCAGUGUAGCGGUGAAAUGCGUAGAUAUUGGGAGGAACACCGGUGGCGAAGGCGGCUCUCUGGACCGAUACUGACGCUGAAACGCGAAAGCUAGGGGAGCAAACGGG